This 466-nucleotide ribosomal RNA is filed under the name uncultured bacterium. RNAcentral's name for it is "partial 16S ribosomal RNA". It matches the Rfam family "Bacterial small subunit ribosomal RNA", at positions 28 to 507 of the family's 1533-position model. The record is from RNAcentral.
GACGAACGCUGGCGGCGCGCCUAACACAUGCAAGUCGAACGAGCGAGAGAGAGCUUUCUUUCUCUAGCGAUUGGCGAACGGGUGAGUAACACGUGAGGAACCUGCCCCAAAGAGGGGGACAACAGUUGGAAACGACUGCUAAUACCGCAUAAGCCCACUACCCGGCAUCGGGUAGAGGGAAAAGGAGCAAUCGGCUUUAAGAUGGCCUCGCGUCCGAUUAGCUAGUUGGUGAGGUAACGGCCCACCAAGGCGACGAUCGGUAGCCGUACUGAGAGGCUGAACCGCCACAUUGGGACUGGGACGCGGCAGAGAAUCCUACGGGAGGCAGGAGUGCGGAAUAUUGCAACAUGGGGGAAGCGCUGAUGGAGCGCCGAUGGGUGGAGGAAGAAGGUCUUCGGAUUGUAAACUCCUGUUGAUGAGGCAGAUAAUGACGGUACUUAACCAGGAAGUGACGGCUAACUACGUG